RNAcentral lists this long non-coding RNA (1299 nucleotides) under Cricetulus griseus (Chinese hamster). RNAcentral's name for it is "lncRNA (ENSCGRG00015037348.1)". The record is from RNAcentral. Lineage: Eukaryota; Metazoa; Chordata; Mammalia; Rodentia; Cricetidae.
GCCUGCAGGAAGUUCAGAAAGAAGCCUCCGGGACAUGAGAGGAUUGUGAGCAAAGAGAGGCCUCCUGGCUCAGGUGUGACCUGUACAAGCAGUGAAGAGGGGGUGAAGUUAUGUGCCAACCUGAGAAGCACGUAACUCACGGUGUCAGAGGACAGCUGAGAAAGGUGUGCAGUUAAGGUGAUGAAGAUGACGACAGCUGUUUAUGCUGUAAUGAAAGACACGGACCUAGACAAGAAUUACUCUUCUGUGGGAAAAUGGAGCCCCUGGCACCAGGACUGGAAAGCCUCGUGGGUCCAGAAACUCCUGGAAGAGAAGUGUGCUUGAAGAGAGAUCCUGCUGAAGAUGGAAGCCACAGAGUGGGUGUUGUGUGUUCUCUGAUGAACCCUCAGCUCCAGUGAACACAUGGAAAGUUCCCCAACAUGCCAUCUCUCUGGGUAAAUUAUCACCACCUCCUUGCUGCCUUCACAUGGCUUUUUCCUGGUGUAUGCAUCCAUAGAAAGAAUGAGCUCUCGGAUAAGGGCAUUGAGGACCACACUUCAUCUCAGGUACCUUCCUCAAGUGACCUCAUUCAACUUUAAGUGCUUCCCAAAAGGCCUGCAUCCAAAUACAGUCGCACUGAGGGUUAGUUGGAGCUUCCAUGUGUAAAUCUGGAGAGGGACAACAUCCAGGCAACCAUUAUUGACUGUCCACUAAGGAAUCUCUGGGACCAUCUGAGCCCAGAUCUGUCCAAGGAUUCACACACGCCCCUGCUCUGCAGAGAAGCCUGUGCAAUGCUUGCAGAGGGACCAAAGCUCUGCACCUUCACAGAGAUGGGGGAAAGUUUAAGACGAUGCUGGAGACACUGUUGAGACCAGGUGACUGAUUCAACCCUGUCAUUUUGCAGUCUGAGUGCCACUGUGAGCUUCACUAAGGUACAUCAGAAAUGAGGCAAUUACCCAUCACUCAGGUUCCUGCCCUCUCUGAUCUAUUUGGCUCAUAGAUGGACCUGAGCCACCAUUAGGAUCUGGAAUAACAAAGACGGGGUGUUUGCUUUGGAGACUCUGUCUCAUGACAGUGUGACUGGCCUACUGAUGUCUCUAGUACCCAGAAGACAGGUGACACAAAGAUGGAGGCAGAGUCCAGAGGAGCCGGCUCCAUAAAGCCGGUUCACUUUGCAUCAUUAGUUCCACUCCCCCCAACUCCCCCCAUCACAGUGAACCGUCUGUCUAUUUCCGUCACGGGGACUUUACUUCAAGUUAAAAUACAGUGUGCUUGUCUCUGGGCCCUCUCCCACAUCUUGUUCUGCGUAGCCCUGUUCAG